AGACCCGAAACCCGGUGAUCUAGCCAUGGGCAGGUUGAAGGUUGGGUAACACUAACUGGAGGACCGAACCGACUAAUGUUGAAAAAUUAGCGGAUGACCUGUGGCUGGGGGUGAAAGGCCAAUCAAACCGGGAGAUAGCUGGUUCUCCCCGAAAGCUAUUUAGGUAGCGCCUCGUGAAUUCAUCUCCGGGGGUAGAGCACUGUUUCGGCUAGGGGGCCAUCCCGGCUUACCAACCCGAUGCAAACUGCGAAUACCGGAGAAUGUUAUCACGGGAGACACACGGCGGGUGCUAACGUCCGUCGUGAAGAGGGAAACAACCCAGACCGCCAGCUAAGGUCCCAAAGUCAUGGUUAAGUGGGAAACGAUGUGGGAAGGCCCAGACAGCCAGGAUGUUGGCUUAGAAGCAGCCAUCAUUUAAAGAAAGCGUAAUAGCUCACUGGUCGAGUCGGCCUGCGCGGAAGAUGUAACGGGGCUAAACCAUGCACCGAAGCUGCGGCAGCGACACUGUGUGUUGUUGGGUAGGGGAGCGUUCUGUAAGCCUGCGA
This 545-nucleotide ribosomal RNA is filed under the name Salmonella enterica subsp. enterica serovar Cerro. RNAcentral describes it as "partial 23S ribosomal RNA". It matches the Rfam family "Bacterial large subunit ribosomal RNA", at positions 711 to 1253 of the family's 2925-position model. Lineage: Bacteria; Pseudomonadati; Pseudomonadota; Gammaproteobacteria; Enterobacterales; Enterobacteriaceae. The record is from RNAcentral.